GUAGGUGGCAAGCGUUGUCCGGAAUUAUUGGGCGUAAAGCGCGCGCAGGCGGUUCUUUAAGUCUGAUGUGAAAGCCCACGGCUCAACCGUGGAGGGUCAUUGGAAACUGGAGAACUUGAGUACAGAAGAGGAAAGCGGAAUUCCACGUGUAGCGGUGAAAUGCGUAGAGAUGUGGAGGAACACCAGUGGCGAAGGCGGCUUUUCUGGUCUGUAACUGACGCUGAGGCGCGAAAGCGUGGGGAGCAAACAGGGAUUAGAUACCCUGGUAGUCCACGCCGUAAACGAUGAGUGCUAAGUGUUAGGGGGGUUUUCCGCCCCCUUAGUGCUGCAGCUAACGCAUUAAGCACUCCGCCUGGGGGUUACGGCCGCAAGGCUG
Molecule: ribosomal RNA, 376 nt
Filed under: uncultured organism
Description: partial 16S ribosomal RNA
Rfam family: Bacterial small subunit ribosomal RNA
Source: RNAcentral